Molecule: unclassified non-coding RNA, 418 nt
Filed under: uncultured Alteromonadaceae bacterium
Lineage: Bacteria; Pseudomonadati; Pseudomonadota; Gammaproteobacteria; Alteromonadales; Alteromonadaceae
Description: partial 16S-23S ribosomal RNA intergenic spacer
Source: RNAcentral
CCUCCUUACGUAAAGGUGUCGAAUCAAGAUUGAUUCGGUGUUCACACAGAUUGUUUUGUUGUUUUAUUGUAGGUCGAACGUUAGUUCGACAAAGGGCCUUAAUGUUUAGUCCUUAGCUUCUUUUAAAGAGGUUUUAAGGGUAAAGAUUAAGGUUUUCGUCUCUCAGGAGAGGAAAUAUCCUUGAAAAUGUUCUUUAACAAUGUGGAAAAGCUGAUAAAUCAUCGAUGUUGUUGAUGCUUUGCAUCAAUAAUAUCAACCAAAGUAUUUAUAAAUUUAGGGUAAUUCAUAGCGUUUUACUCUAUCUGAUUAUAGGCGAGUUACGGUGUCAACCAGGCAACGUCUGUUUUAUGAGAAUGGCGACAUUCGAGUGAUACAGGGGUUGUAUGAUUAAGUGACUAAGCGUAUACGGUGGAUGCCU